AACUAACGCUGGCGGCGUGCCUAACACAUGCAAGUCGUACGAGAAAGCCGGCUUCGGCUGGUGAGUAAAGUGGCGCACGGGUGAGUAACGCGUGGAUAAUCUGCCCUUAAGUGUGGAAUAACGUACCGAAAGGUGCGCUAAUACCGCAUAAUGCCUGGCAACACAAGUUGUCCGGCCAAAGAAGGCCUCUGUUUACAAGCUUUCGCUUCAGGAUGAGUCCGCGUACCAUUAGCUUGUUGGUGGGGUAAUGGCCUACCAAGGCUGCGAUGGUUAGCUGGUCUGAGAGGAUGAUCAGCCACACUGGAACUGAGACACGGUCCAGACUCCUACGGGAGGCAGCAGUCGAGAAUAGUCUACAAUGGCCGGAAGGCUGAUAGUGCGACGCCGCGUGAACGAGGGAGCCCUUCGGGGUGUAAAGUUCUUUUCUAUACGAGCAGUGCUAUAUAUAUGGAUAGUAUAUAUAGAGGGAUAGUAGUAUAGGAAUAAGA
Molecule: ribosomal RNA, 488 nt
Filed under: uncultured bacterium
Lineage: Bacteria
Description: bacterial SSU rRNA
Rfam family: Bacterial small subunit ribosomal RNA
Source: RNAcentral